GGGCUCUAUAUGUCUAAUUGCCAUUCAAAUCAUUCUCCAGUUCAUCAAAAUGUUUCAAUGGACACUAAAGGUACCCAGACCACUGAGCUCAUUGAAGUUAUCGGUGUGCAGUAACCCUGUCCCCUUUCCCCUGCAAUGGUAAUUAUUCCAGUUUCUGAUAAAUUGCAAUAAUUACCUUGCAAGGUUAAGACUGCCUCUAGUGGCGGUCAUUCAGGCAGCUGCUAGAGGCACCUUCUGGUAAUUAGGCGACUUUUGGUCAUCCAGUGUCAGUCAUUUCCCCAUAGGAAAGCAUUGCAGCAAUGUUUUCCUAUAGGGGUAGGCCUAAUGCGCUCGCUGUGUUUAGUUUUACUUGCAAGCUUUUGUGUGGAACGGUAUUAAAUGCCUUGUAGAUCA
Pelobates cultripes (western spadefoot toad) is the source of this 393-nucleotide non-coding RNA. The record is from the annotation of a GenBank genome assembly. NCBI's taxonomy places the organism in Eukaryota, Metazoa, Chordata, Amphibia, Anura, Pelobatidae.